This 490-nucleotide ribosomal RNA is filed under the name uncultured bacterium. RNAcentral's name for it is "partial 16S ribosomal RNA". It matches the Rfam family "Bacterial small subunit ribosomal RNA", at positions 30 to 507 of the family's 1533-position model. The record is from RNAcentral.
AUUGAACGCUGGCGGCAUGCCUUACACAUGCAAGUCGAACGGCAGCAUGAUCUAGCUUGCUAGAUUGAUGGCGAGUGGCGAACGGGAGAGUAAUACAUCGGAACGUGCCCUGUAGUGGGGGAUAACUAGUCGAAAGAUUAGCUAAUACCGCAUACGACCUGAGGGUGAAAGUGGGGGACCGCAAGGCCUCAUGCUAUAGGAGCGGCCGAUGUCUGAUUAGCUAGUUGGUGAGGUAAAGGCUCACCAAGGCGACGAUCAGUAGCUGGUCUGAGAGGACGAUCAGCCACACUGGGACUGAGACACGGCCCAGACUCCUACGGGAGGCAGCAGUGGGGAAUUUUGGACAAUGGGCGAAAGCCUGAUCCAGCAAUGCCGCGUGUGUGAAGAAGGCCUUCGGGUUGUAAAGCACUUUUGUCCGGAAAGAAAUGGCUCUGGUUAAUACCUGGGGUCGAUGACGGUACCGGAAGAAUAAGGACCGGCUAACUACGUG